UUCUCCACUUGCUAUGACCUCAGAACCAAGCCUUGAACCUCCGCCCACAUGACCUGCCCCGCUUGGUCCAUCCCCUUCUUUCCCAUGAUCAGUGUGGUGAUGGGAGUGGUGGGAGGGAGAGGAGAGGUGGAGGAGGAGAGUAUGGUGGAUGGGUGGGAGGAGGAAGAGAGAGGAGUGCUGGAGAGAGGAAGAGAGAAGGUACCGGAUGAGGUAAUAGCAGAAACAGUAGUUAAACAGUAACUGAGGGAAGAGGAAGUAUAGUUGUGGUGGGUCGUCAAUGGAAGAUGGAAGAGUGGUGGUUCCUCCCUGGCUGGUGCCUAGCCCCCCUGCUCCUGCGCGCGUUGCUUCCUAGAUGUAAUUAGGCAGAUUUUCAUUUAUGUUUCGCAUCCUGAACGCUAUUACGUAGCUGAGAGGCGUUGGAAUCUUCCGAGGCUCCUCCAGCAGGCUGCUUCCUGACGCAUCUCUCGGCAGAACCUUUCAGAAGUGAGUCACGGUACUUUAUAAAGGAAGCGGUCUUGAUUCCGAGUUAAUUGGAGUUGUGGAGUUAGCCUGACUGAGGGAAGAAUAAACCCGACAUGCUCCGCGAAGCCUUUCUCUCUCGGCGGGCUAAUUAGUGGAUCCUGACUACGAGGCGGAAGGAAGAGGAACUAUAUACGGAAUGUUUCGCUAAUAUUCAAGUCUACGUAGACCUGAACCGAAUCAAGGUCUAGUCACCGAAUCAUCUGCGCGAGUGCAUGCGAAUCAGGAAACUGCACCGAUACAAAGAAGGACUCGAGCGGCUGCCUAUCUUAUCUCCCGCCUGUCCGCCCCUCACCUGCUGCUUGCCGCCAAUUAUCACCAGCCCUCUACAAACAACCACUCUUGCAGUUCGGCAAACGAGUGCUGAACAACUACCGCCACCACCACCACCUCCCCCUCCCCGCCGUGGUGCUGAUUACCACAACACCCUCACUCCCAUCCGCUCUCGCACAGACACAAGGCACAGGCACAAGAGUACACAAGAGUACUGCCUUCCCGACCAUUGUUAACCUGAUCAAUAAAACAAACGUGUAAUACAAAUGUAAAAGAAAGAAAAAAUUCCAUCCAGCCUGACUACCUGUAAGCAUUCAGUUAUGUAAGAGUGUCAUUUUCUUUACCUUCACUCUGUUAACUUGAUGUGCUCUUCUUUAUUUCAUUUUAUUUCAUUUUAGUUUUUUUUUUUAGUUUAUUUUACUUCUAAUGUUUUUAUUUUAUUGUUCAUGUUUUUUUUUUCUUAACUCCUUGUUUUCCUUGUAACUUCUCAGCCGGAAGACUGUUCGUCUUAAAUAAACCGUUAAUUAUUAUUGUU
Long non-coding RNA from Scylla paramamosain (green mud crab), 1327 nucleotides. RefSeq lists it as uncharacterized. The record is from RefSeq and is a predicted model, not a curated record. NCBI's taxonomy places the organism in Eukaryota, Metazoa, Arthropoda, Malacostraca, Decapoda, Portunidae. The transcript has 4 exons.